RNAcentral lists this ribosomal RNA (424 nucleotides) under uncultured prokaryote. RNAcentral describes it as "bacterial SSU rRNA". It matches the Rfam family "Bacterial small subunit ribosomal RNA", at positions 355 to 796 of the family's 1533-position model. The record is from RNAcentral.
UGGGGAAUAUUGGACAAUGGGCGAAAGCCUGAUCCAGCCAUGCCGCGUGAAUGAAGAAGGCCUUAGGGUUGUAAAAUUCUUUCAACGGUGAAGAUAAUGACGGUAACCGUAGAAGAAGCCCCGGCUAAUUUCGUGCCAGCAGCCGCGGUAAUACGAAAGGGGCUAGCGUUGUUCGGAAUUACUGGGCGUAAAGCGCACGUAGGCGGCCUGCCAAGUUGGGGGUGAAAUCCCGGGGCUCAACCCCGGAACUGCCUCCAAAACUGGUAAGCUAGAGGAUGUGAGAGGAAAGUGGAAUUCCGAGUGUAGAGGUGAAAUUCGUAGAUAUUCGGAAGAACACCAGUGGCGAAGGCGACUUUCUGGCACAUUACUGACGCUGAGGUGCGAAAGCGUGGGGAGCGAACAGGAUUAGAUACCCCCGUAGUCC